Long non-coding RNA from Trichoplusia ni (cabbage looper), 2997 nucleotides. RefSeq lists it as uncharacterized. The transcript is spliced from 2 exons. The record is from RefSeq and is a predicted model, not a curated record. NCBI's taxonomy places the organism in Eukaryota, Metazoa, Arthropoda, Insecta, Lepidoptera, Noctuidae.
UAUUUUCCAGUAACAAUCCUAUCUGUUUAAUUAACGAAUCUAAUCAAAGUGCAAUUCGUUACUUAAUACUCUAAAACAAUAAAAUGUACAUCUUAUCAAACCGCAAUAAAUAUUUACAAUGGGGGCAACAACUAAGCCAAUAUAAUCGUUCCGGCCUUCACCGAAGGCUCAAAGUACAAAAAUUCGUGAAACAAAACACAAGUUACCUUAAAUACAUGAGGAAAUAAACGUAGUUAUUGUAAAAAAACGAGUGUAAACGAUUGAAUGCGCUGCGACCUUGGCGUAAGAACGAAAUUGGCUUGAGAUGUUUAGAUAAGGUGUAAAGUUUAGUUGUGUGGUGUACGUGCAUGACAAUGGACGUGUGAUGUGACCAGCAUACGUUUGUAAACUGUGACGGGCAGUAGUCGCUUACGCAUGAACACUCAAGAAAAAUUGGAACGAAAUAACGAGUGAAUUGUACUAGUGGAAAAUAUGUGCUCGGGAUUUUUGUGAAGGAAUUGUAUUAAAACACAAGUUUUGGAUAUCAUAAAUGAGUGUUCGCGACUGCCAUGUGGACAUAUUCAAGUGUGGAUAUAAGUGGGAAUCAGAUAUCAAGGACAGAUAGGAUCAAGAUUUAUCUGUCAGAAUGUGUGGUUUGCUUCUGUAUCGUGUUCUUCAUCCUCUGCGUAGGACUGCUUCUAUACCUCUUCUUCCAUCUGUACAAUACAGUGACGUCAGCAGGAAAGUUGGCUGGUACUCUCGCAGAAAGCUGAAGUAGUUGUCCAGUAUUACGAAGACUGAUAUCCUAGUGGUCUAUAAGAACAAAAUGUAUGUGAUAAUUUAGUUUAAGUUUCAAGUCAUGUUGUUACGUUCCAGGGAUAGUUUUGAUCUGAAAUCCAAUGGAACGAAAAAUGGAUUCUUUUUGUCAUGAUGGGAAUAAUAAAAUAUUUAAGUUAAAAAAGCUGUGGAAAUAUGAAGAUUUUUGAUAAAGUCUAUUUGAAAUUGAAAAAUGGUGGUGAAUGGACUUCUUGACAUCCAUAAAAGAUUUUUAGAGUAACGUUUGCCCAUAUUUUUCAUUGGUUUACAUAACUUAUGGUAAUACUGCAGGCCGGUCGAUGUUUUGAACAGUAUAACUGUUAAAAUAUUAUCAAUAAGAAUGAGUUCGUCGUAUUCAUUGUUUAAAUAUUAAACAAAACGGUGGCUUGAAACAGUUUUUGUCAAAUUUUCCACGUUUACUCCUCGGCUGACAACAAAACACCGCUUACAGUAAAACGGUAUCCCUAUUGGCAUAAACAGCUGUUAUAACCUAAAACUAGAUUGGAAAACUAAUUACAAUUACAAAAACUCAUACAACAACCAGCAGGAUUUUAAUUAACGAUAAUCAAGGGUGGAAUUUCUCAUCUAUGUAACGCCAUGCUAUUUUGUAUUCUAAUAUCAGGCUCGAAGGUUUAUUUUUGAAUGUUGUUUGUUAGAAAGCUACCAAUUUCAGUGACUUGUCAUCAAAAACUUGACCAAAAUACCGCCCACUAGAUUAAUAAGGUCCGUUUGUGGUCCUAUCUCAUUGGCAGACAGCUUUGUGGUCGAGUGUGAAUAGGACCACACACCACCACACAAAUGUAGCUUUGAGCUAUUUUAGCGACCACGAAUCGCGAUCCGUUUUAUUUAAUCUGAAUUUUCGAUUAGUUUAUCGUGAAUAUGAGUUAGGCAAUGUUAUACCUUUUACGUGUAAGCAUAAACAUUUUUUGAACCGCAAUUCUGUUUAAGCCGUCAUCAGAAAAAAAAAUUGAAUACGUAAUAUUCAUUUUAUUUCAAAAAGCAAUUAAGAUUAUGAAAUGUACGGUAGUGGAGGCUUAAAGUUAAAAGCGUAGGUACAUAUAUUAUGUACUGGUAGGUAACGUUACACGAGAUUUUAAAUCACUGUAUCCCAUUCAUUUUUUGUUAAAAAAAAGAAAAAUAAUUAUACAAUAUUUUUCGGAAGUGUGUCUGACGUACUAGAGCUUUUUUUUUGUCAAAUAUCCUAAUUGUCCUGAAAAUGUUUAUUUUAUUUCAUAUUCUAAUUGUAGCUACUUAAAAUAUAUUUUUGAGUAGUACCCGGCAUGGAGUAUCAUUUGUUUUUUCAAGAAGCUCGAUUGUAAGUGAUGUUUAGUUGUUAUUUGUAACGGCCUCGUAGUGAUUUGUUAAGUUUAACAAAAUGUCAAGUGUUCUAAAUUGGUGAUUUCAUGUUUUUGCUGCUCACUAUAUGUUCUUUGGAUUACGAAAGAUUUAAUGGUCCUUUAUAGAGGUUUCAACAGACACGUAUUCUUUUAUUCAAUUAUGUUAGAUCAUCUCGUUGGGCCUUCAUCAUCAUCCUACAUUUUCCCAACUAUAAGAACUAUGGGAUUGUCAGGGUCCGCUUCCAGUCUAGCUGGAUUUAGCCGGCUCGCUUGUAAAACAAUGGUACUUAACCAUUGUUUUACAAGGGAGACGGCCUAUCUGACCUACACAACUUACAACAUAGAAUCGUUGGCCUUUCAUCCUACUAAUAUUACCUAUAUACGCGAAAGUUUGUAUGUUCGGAUGCAUGAACGUUUGUUAUUCUUUCUCUCAAAAACCACUGAACUGAUUUAGACGGAACUUGCUACACAGUUAGUUUAUAACCUCGAUUAAGAUAUGAGAUAGUUUUUAUUCCGAUUUUAUGUUCCUGUGGGAUCAUUUUGGAUAUUUAGCGGCCGAACCCGCGGGCAGUGCCCAGUGACUAAUGUUAUAUACUAGUAACUCGAAAAAUUUGUAGGUACUUACUUUGAUUUUGCAUAGAUACUUAAAAUAUCUUGUCAUUUUAUGCAACUGUAAAAUAUUCGCAAUAUGUUUUUCAUAAGAAUAUUAGAAGAAUUAUUCUCGAAUUAUUUAAGAUGAUAAUAAAAUAGUUUUGUUAUCCUUAGCAAUUAGGUAAAUGAAUAAUAAUGCGGAAUAAAUUGUGCACAAUUCCGAAAUAAUUUUGGCUGUUGAAUUGUGAAUCUAUAUUAAAUAAUUGUUUUGUUA